AAGAGAGUGAACAAAGAGCAGGCAGAGCCAGGGCCAGGGAGAGAUGAAGAGAGUAAGAGAUGCAGAGACAACUGCUCCAUGACCAGGUCUUUGUCAUUCGACUGAACCCCACCAGGGACUCGUGGUCCCUAGCAGGGAAGCUACUCGUCCCCCCACUGUCUGGCCCACACACUGAGAUAGGAGGAGACACUUGACCACAGGGAGAGGAAGUAGAGCAUGGACGUAAAGGAAUAUUCAAAGAAAGAAAACAAUCCAUGACAACAAGAGAGACACAUGCCAUGGAGUAAGAAGAGAUAUCGGCCAGCUCCCGCGACACCAAGUCCAACACACUGAGCGGCAUGUCAAGAGCACUGACAGCCAUGCUAAUGGGAUUUUUCCACGGCUCCAUCAUAAUUUCCUUAAUGAU
Eleginops maclovinus (Patagonian blennie) is the source of this 406-nucleotide long non-coding RNA. RefSeq lists it as uncharacterized. Lineage: Eukaryota; Metazoa; Chordata; Actinopteri; Perciformes; Eleginopidae. The record is from RefSeq and is a predicted model, not a curated record. The transcript has 3 exons.